Molecule: ribosomal RNA, 253 nt
Filed under: uncultured bacterium
Lineage: Bacteria
Description: partial 16S ribosomal RNA
Rfam family: Bacterial small subunit ribosomal RNA
Source: RNAcentral
UACGUAGGGGGCUAGCGUUGUCCGGAAUCAUUGGGCGUAAAGAGCGUGUAGGCGGUCCGGUAAGUCCGCUGUGAAAGUCGGGGGCUCAACCCUCGAAUGCCGGUGGAUACUGUCGGGCUAGAGUGCGGAAGAGGCGAGUGGAAUUCCUGGUGUAGCGGUGAAAUGCGCAGAUAUCAGGAGGAACACCUGCGGCGAAGGCGGGUUGCUGGGCCGACACUGACGCUGAGGCGCGAAAGCCAGGGGAGCGAACGGG